CCCGCACAAGCGGUGGAGCAUGUGGUUUAAUUCGAUGCAACGCGAAGAACCUUACCUGGGCUUGACAUCCCGAGAAUCCCCUGGAAACAGGGGAGUGCCUUUCGGGGAACUCGGAGACAGGUGCUGCAUGGCUGUCGUCAGCUCGUGUCGUGAGAUGUUGGGUUAAGUCCCGCAACGAGCGCAACCCUUGUCUUUAAUUGCCAGCAUUCAGUUGGGCACUUUAAAGAGACUGCCGGUGUUAAGCCGGAGGAAGGUGGGAAUGACGUCAAGUCCGCAUGCUCCUUACGUCUAGGGCUACACACGUCCUACAAUGGGGUCGACAGUGGGAUGCAAAGCCGCGAGGUGGAGCCAAUCCCCAAACGGCCUCUCAGUUCGGAUAGUAGUCUGCAACUCGACUACUUGAAGUCGGAAUCGCUAGUAAUGGCGGAUCAGCAUGCCGCCGUGAAUACGUUCCCGGGUCUU
This 462-nucleotide ribosomal RNA is filed under the name uncultured Syntrophus sp. Its description in RNAcentral is "bacterial SSU rRNA". It matches the Rfam family "Bacterial small subunit ribosomal RNA", at positions 920 to 1382 of the family's 1533-position model. Lineage: Bacteria; Pseudomonadati; Thermodesulfobacteriota; Syntrophia; Syntrophales; Syntrophaceae. The record is from RNAcentral.